GACGAACGCUGGCGGCGUGCCUAACACAUGCAAGUCGAACGGGACCAGAUGUCAGACAGCGGACAUCAGGAGACAGAUUACAGAUGGCAGAAUACAGAUUCAGAAGAGGGCGUGGAGGAAACCAAGCCUAGAUUCUAAUAUCCUAAGUCUGAGCAUUAGUAUCUGAACUCUGGUAUCUGGCGUCUGAUGUCUGGUCUAGUGGCGGACGGGUGAGUAACGCGUGAGCAACCUGCCUUACAGAGGGGGAUAACAUUCGGAAACAAAUGCUAAUACCGCAUAACAUAUAUUUACGGCAUCGUAGAUAUAUCAAAGGAGCAAUCCGCUGUAAGAUGGGCUCGCGUCCGAUUAGAUAGUUGGUGAGGUAAUGGCUCACCAAGUCUGCGAUCGGUAGCCGGACUGAGAGGUUGAACGGCCACAUUGGGACUGAGACACGGCCCAGACUCCUACGGGAGGCAGCAGUGGGG
RNAcentral lists this ribosomal RNA (464 nucleotides) under uncultured bacterium. RNAcentral's name for it is "bacterial SSU rRNA". It matches the Rfam family "Bacterial small subunit ribosomal RNA", at positions 28 to 359 of the family's 1533-position model. The record is from RNAcentral.